AAUGGACCAACAAGGUUGUUCUAAUUUCAUUAAAAUGCAAGGCUGAAACAUUGGUUUUGGGAGAGCAAGAAAAGGGAAUUUG
Chenopodium quinoa (quinoa) is the source of this 82-nucleotide long non-coding RNA. RefSeq lists it as uncharacterized. The record is from RefSeq and is a predicted model, not a curated record. Lineage: Eukaryota; Viridiplantae; Streptophyta; Magnoliopsida; Caryophyllales; Amaranthaceae. The transcript is spliced from 2 exons.